Non-coding RNA from Salmo salar (Atlantic salmon), 1984 nucleotides. Lineage: Eukaryota; Metazoa; Chordata; Actinopteri; Salmoniformes; Salmonidae. The record is from RefSeq and is a predicted model, not a curated record.
CUGAGACAGGAGAGCCGGAGACCCGGAGACUGAGACAGGAGAGCCGGAGACUGAGACAGGAGAGCCGGAGACUGAGACAGGAGAGCCGGAGACUGAGACAGGAGAGCCGGAGACUGAGACAGGAGAGCCGGAGACUGAAACAGGAGAGCCGGAGACUGAGACAGGAGAGCCGGAGACUGAAACAGGAGAGCCGGAGACUGAGACAGGAGAGCCGGAGACUGAGACAGGAGAGCCGGAGACUGAGACAGGAGAGCCGGAGACUGAGACAGGAGAGCCGGAGACUGAGACACGAGAGCCGGAGACCGAGACAGGAGAGCCGGAGACCGAGACAGGAGAGCCGGAGACUGAGACAGGAGCCACAUCCAACCAACUACCCCAGAGACAGGAGCCAUAUCCAACCAACUACCCCAGAGACAGGAGCCAUAUCCAACCAACUACCCCAGAGACAGGAGCCAUAUCCAACCAACUACCCCAGAGACAGGAGCCAUAUCCAACCAACUACCCCAGAGACAGGAGCCAUAUCCAACCAACUACCCCAGAGACAGGAGCCAUAUCUAACCAACUACCCCAGAGACAGGAGACAUAUCUAAACAACUACCCCAGAGACAGGAGCCAUAUCCAACCAACUACCCCAGAGACAGGAGCCAUAUCCAACCAACUACCCCAGAGACAGGAGCCAUAUCCAACCAACUACCCCAGAGACAGGAGCCAUAUCCAACCAACUACCCCAGAGACAGGAGCCAUAUCCAACCAACUACCCCAGAGACAGGAGCCAUAUCCAACCAACUACCCCAGAGACAGGAGCCAUAUCCGGCUGAGUAGCCCCAGAGCCUGUCCUGGUCCUUGAGAUGACCACCACUAGGCCAUAAAGACACAGAACCACUAGUCUAGACACUUAUUUGUCCUGGGUUAUAUUCACACCAAACGGAAGAAAAAGGAACUGAAACAGAGAGAGACUACCUGAACUUGUGCAAUUAGAAAUGCUUGUUUUAAUUUGACUUCCUUGCUCACUCUGCUAUUUCAAAACUAAUGUGAAAAAGAUGGAAGGUCCCAUAAACACAAGAAAACAGCCCCGCCUUUACAAGGUUCCAUAACUAAAAGGGCCACCUACACAACAGGAUGCCGCAUGCAGAGAUACAGCCCUGCCUUUACAAGGUUCCAUAACUAAAAGGGCCACCUACACAACAGGAUGCCGCAUGCAGAGAUACAGCCCCGCCUUUACAAGGUUCCAUAACUAAAAGGGCCACCUACACAACAGGAUGCCGCAUGCAGAGAUACAGCCCUGCCUUUACAAGGUUCCAUAACUAAAAGGGCCACCUACACAACAGGAUGCCGCAUGCAGAGAUACAGCCCCGCCUUUACAAGGUUCCAUAACUAAAAGGGCCACCUACACAACAGGAUGCCGCAUGCAGAGAUACAGCCCCGCCUUUACAAGGUUCCAUAACUAAAAGGGCCACCUACACAACAGGAUGCCGUAUGCAGAGAUACAGCCCCGCCUUUACAAGGUUCCAUAACUAAAAGGGCCACCUACACAACAGGAUGCCGCAUGCAGAGAUACAGCCCCGCCUUUACAAGGUUCCAUAACUAAAAGGGCCACCUACACAACAGGAUGCCGUAUGCAGAGAUACAGCCCUGCCUUUACAAGGUUCCAUAACUAAAAGGGCCACCUACACAACAGGAUGCCGUAUGCAGAGAUACAGCCCUGCCUUUACAAGGUUCCAUAACUAAAAGGGCCACCUACACAACAGGAUGCCGCAUGCAGAGAUACAGCCCCGCCUUUACAAGGUUCCAUAACUAAAAGGGCCACCUACACAACAGGAUGCCGUAUGCAGAGAUACAAUCCUACCUUUACUGAUUCAUCUUCAACAUUUCCGGCACAUUGAACUUUGUACAGAUAUUUAUGCUUUUCCUAAUUAACUGCUUUCACUUCCAAUACUUCCUUUUUAACUGCUGUUUGAAGUGGAAUUAAAACCAUUCUAUUUCA